AGAGCGAACGCUGGCGGCAGGCUUAACACAUGCAAGUCGAGCGGGCGUAGCAAUGCGUCAGCGGCAGACGGGUGAGUAACGCGUGGGAACGUACCUUUUGGUUCGGAACAACCCAGGGAAACUUGGGCUAAUACCGGAUAAGCCCUUACGGGGAAAGAUUUAUCGCCGGAGGAUUGGCCCGCGUUCGAUUAGCUAGUUGGUGGGGUAACGGCCCACCAAGGCGACGAUCGAUAGCUGGUCUGAGAGGAUGAUCAGCCACAUUGGGACUGAGACACGGCCCAAACUCCUACGGGAGGCAGCAGUGGGGAAUAUUGGACAAUGGGCGCAAGCCUGAUCCAGCCAUGCCGUGUGAGUGAUGACGGCCUUAGGGUUGUAAAGCUCUUUCGCUCGGGACGAUAAUGACGGUACCGAGAGAAGAAGCCCGGCUAACUUCGUGCCAGCAGCCGC
This 447-nucleotide ribosomal RNA is filed under the name uncultured bacterium. RNAcentral describes it as "SSU rRNA". It matches the Rfam family "Bacterial small subunit ribosomal RNA", at positions 26 to 518 of the family's 1533-position model. The record is from RNAcentral.